CGCAGGGCGUGGAAGCGGUGCGUCCACUCCGGCCAGCACGACAGCGCCACCUGGGGCCACGCCGCCGCCGCCGACUUCGCGCCCAUGCCCAGGAUGUGCCGCCUCGUCAUGGCCAACUACGCCCCGCCCGACCUCCUCGCUUGCUGCCCCCUCGACCCCUCAAACGUCGUGCGCCGCUGCACCUACGCUGACACGGGGGGCCGGGUCAUGCCCUACCUCGUCUACCUCGACCACGCGCACGCCGACUUCGUGCUCGCGCUGCGCGGCCUCAACCUCGAUCGCGAGUCCGACUACGUGCUGCUCCUCGGCAAGCGUCGCUUCGACGGCGGCUACGUCCACAACGGCCUCCUCCGCGCCGCCGGCUGGGUGCUCGACAGGGAGUGCGACCUGCUCCGGGACCUCGUCGACUGGUACCCCGCCUACAUGCUCACCUUCACGGGCCACUCACUCAGCGUCGGUGUCGCCUCCAUGCUCACCAUGGUCGUUGUGCUCAACCUCGACAAGCUCGGCAAGGUCGAGAGGGGCCGCACCAGGUGCUACACCAUGGCCCCCGCCCGCUGUAUGUCGCUCAACCUCGCUGUCAGAUACGCCGAUGUCAUCAACUCCGUCGUGCUGCAGGUGACUCACUGA
This 630-nucleotide ribosomal RNA is filed under the name Triticum aestivum (bread wheat). RNAcentral describes it as "partial small subunit ribosomal RNA". The record is from RNAcentral. Lineage: Eukaryota; Viridiplantae; Streptophyta; Magnoliopsida; Poales; Poaceae.